UUCCUACUCGAACCGGGACUAAUGUGAAUUUUGCAUGACCCAGUAAAGAUCAAUUCUUCAAUAGUGCGAUAUGAUUAGUCAUUUGCAGGAAAGUACUACCACUUUAGAUGCAUACACGUUACUUCAUCUCACCAAGACAUUUCCACUGUUUAAAAUGUGUAAAAAAGUUUUAAUGACUAUCGAGUGUUAAAAUUUUUUCACAAAGCUAGGAUUAAUUAUUUCUAGCUUCGAAGUUACCCUAGGUCCAAAAGUUGAGAAGUAUUGGAACCGUGUAUCUAUUUUGAUCCAAGGGUCUAGCUAGAUUUAUUUCUAUUACCACCUCAGUAGACGGCAGAAGAAACAUAAAAGGAUAUAAUUGUCAAAAAAAAAGAAAAAUAGGUGCGGUGGGAUGAAAUCAUCAUUUAGCACUGACUAACCCUAGCCGAUCGAGUGAAACAGUCUUCCCCUCAGUCGGCUGCCACCGUUGGACGAACUGACGGCCGCCGCCGAUGAACAGAGACAUCCCCAGUAGUUUCACACCCAUGGCAACCAAAUAUAUUUUUGUCUCGCACGCGUAUUUGCAUCCCAACAGUGUGUGUCUAUAUAUAUAUAUAUACACACACACACAUUGGUAUUGUCAAGAAGAAUAUGAGUCAGGCAAACAACUGCUUAUGCAUCGCGGGAUGGAUCAACAAUAAUAUUACAGGAGACUCCUGCAUGCUUGAUGAUUGACACUGUCAGCAAUGGCCGGAAUGGAACAAGCGGCGCUCGUGUUGGCAAUGAUGUAAUCAACAACGAGAGUGGCCGGCGGAAGGACCGAAGGAGCCGUCGGCGAGAGGAUUUCACGAGCGAGAUAUUUUACAUCUCGAGCAUUACAUAUUGGAUGAAUCACCCCCCCGAAUCAACCCGAAGCGGUUGGAGGUAGAGGAAGGCAGCGACGACCACCAUGAGACAGCGGAUGAAGACAGCGUGCAUUAGGCGGCGGCAGCAGUGGCAGUAACAUACGCGGUGGAAGGCAGCGUCCCCGCCACAUCCUCUCCCUCGGCCGUGUCUCACCCAUCGAUCUUGACGAGCGGGAAGGCCAAGCAACGACGCGAGUCCUCGAGGGUCAACCUCUCUGCCUCGGGCCUCUGCAUCCGGAUACUGCCGUCGAUACGGUGCCGCUUGGACCUACCGUCGCGGCGCCGCCAGUUGGGAUCUGCGGCGGUGGAGCCGUAGCUCUCAUGAAGGCGGCGACGAGCCUGCCGCCGUCUCCUAGCAUGCCGCCCACCCCUUUCCUGCAGUGCAGCGCGGCGGCGGUGGUCCAGGCAGAGAAGGCAGCGGCGGUGGUCCAAAUGGAGGUCACGGCGGGGAAGGGCGGGUGGCGGGCGCGGCAGGGAGGGCCGUCAUGGGAGAGCAAGCUCUCUGCCGCGUGCGGCACCAGCCCCGCCUCCGCUGCCUGCCGCCCACCGCCCGGGCGAUCCCCGCCUCAGCCGCUUGUCUCCCGUGUGAGCUCUGCCUCAGUCACCAGCCGCUCGUGUGUUCUCCGCCUCUGCCGCCAGCAACCCGGUCCACCUCCUCCGCCGCGUGGGCGAUCUCCAUCUCUACCGUCGGACCUCCUAGAGGAGCUCCGCCUCCGCCGCCAGUCGCCCGGGCAAGCUCCUCGUUAGCCUCUCAACGCCGGCCACCCAGUCCGCCUCCUCCUCCACAGCCAGCCGCCCGGGUGUGUGUGUGUGUGUGUGUGUGUGUGUGUGUGUGUGUGAGAGGAGUGUGUGUAUGUGUGUGUGAGAGAGAGAGUGAUGGGGAAGUAUUGGGUUGAGGGAGGGGUAUGACAGGUGGGCGCCGGGGAAGCAUUUUUUUUACUGAUUGGAUUUCCACGUUGGCCCGACAUGUGCACGCUCAACUUAAAACUGCUCAAAAUACUAUUGAGGGGGGUAAUUUGUUCGGUAUAAAUAAUUGAGGGUGUCAAAUGUUUGGUUUUGUAGUUAAGGGGGGUAAAUCGAAUGACCGUGAUAGUUAAGGGGGGUAAAUGAAACAACCAUAAAAUAAAAUAUAAUGACUUUUGGAUUGAUGGAGCAUUAGAAAUUCUUCAAAUGCUCCUGAUGUUAAAAAGUAUAGAAAGAGUUGUACCGCAAGGAUUAUGAAAGGUGAAUAGGUAAGUGAGUAUAAGAAGUACAUGCAAAUAUAAGUUUCAGUGGGAAAGUGUCUUUCAAUUCUCCUUAAAAGAGAUGCAGCUUAAGGUAGUCCUCCCUCAUCCCCUUGCUAAAUACUCCUUCCAUCCCAAAUGUAGUUACCUUUAACAUUCCAUGUUUUCCUAAAAAUAUAGCAACCUUUUCUUCCUCUCAACAAAUCACAACCAUCUUCAAUUUGAUUUAUCUGCCUACUUUUUCAUCUUAACCAAUCAAAAAUCAUCCAUAAUUUUAGUUUACAUUUCUCCUUGAUACCUGUGUCAAAUUUCAAAAAGUCAUAGUAUUUUGCAACAGAGUGAGUAAAUAUCUAACAUAAGUGAUAUCAUUUCAUAGGAGAAAAAAGAGGCAGGGGAACAUCACGUGGGGCCAAUCACUUCUUUUUAUGGAUAUUAUAUACGAGAAAAGUAUGCAUCGUAUUGAAUUCCAAAUGUCCAGAUUAUAUUUUUUAAAAGUAUGUAAAAUAAAACCUUUCUUUUAGAAAAAAAAAUGAAAGAUGUUAAGUUAACAAGACAUUAUAACCAUUUUUUCCUAUAAACGGAAUAAUUAUCACUACUACAGAGAAGGAGAUCGGUGCCGGUUAGGAACUGGUCAUAGGUGUUGGAUUUCUGAACCAGCAACUAGCAGGCGGCGCCUUUGAGGAGGACUCAAUGGUGAUGUUUAGGAACCUGCACCUUUAAGGUUCUAGGAAUGAAAAAAACAAAAAGCUGGCUCGAUGCAUUGGCUUGAAUCGAAAAUUACAAACCGAUCUGCCAUUUAAUUAAGGAGGAUGCAUAUAUAUAUGCCAUUACAAAAUAUUGAUGGGACUGGUGCACUGUAUGUUGGCCAUGUGCGGUGUUGCUGUAUUUAUAAUCUUUGUAGAUUAUAUUUCCGAUCGGCUCGUUUCCGUGUCCGGAUAAUGUGCUCAAUGGAUCUACAGAGUUGGAGUGGGUAGAGAACGAUCUCUUGUCCCAAUUUGGCAGGUGCAUAGUCUUGGAUUUUUGUCAUUGCGAACUUUAGGUAGCUGGAUGCGCGAUGUGCAGACAUCAGACUCUCCAUUAUCUAAAAUAUUAUACUGCAAUAGAAAAGAAUCUCCCUGGUAGAGCUAGAAUUCAUUGGAUGCAAAGCUAGACAAUUAUUCAUACCCAUGCAUUUCUUCUGUAUACGAUUGAAUCGGGUUAUGACAAGCUGGUGUGAUGUAUGUCCAUGGAUAUGCAGGCAAAUGAAUUAUUUAAUUGGAUUCAUAAA
This is a non-coding RNA of Oryza sativa Japonica Group (Japanese rice), 3371 nucleotides long. The record is from RefSeq and is a predicted model, not a curated record. NCBI's taxonomy places the organism in Eukaryota, Viridiplantae, Streptophyta, Magnoliopsida, Poales, Poaceae.